ACGUAGGGGGCGAGCGUUAUCCGGAUUUACUGGGCGUAAAGCGGGCGUAGGUGGCCUGUCAAGUCAGAUGUGAAAUCUCCUGGCUCAACUAGGAGGAUGCAUUUGAUACUGAUGGGCUAGAGUGCAGCAGAGGGUGAUGGAAUUCCCGGUGUAGUGGUGAAAUGCGUAGAUAUCGGGAAGAACACUAGUGGCGAAGGCGGUCACCUGGGAUGUAACUGACACUGAGGCCCGAAGGCGUGGGGAGCAAACAGGAUUAGAUACCCUGGUAGUCCACGCAGUAAACGAUGGAUACUAGGUAUGGGGAGUAUCGACCCUCUCCGUGCCGAAGCUAACGCUUUAAGUAUCCCGCCUGGGGACUACGAUCGCAAGAUUA
Molecule: ribosomal RNA, 373 nt
Filed under: uncultured bacterium
Lineage: Bacteria
Description: bacterial SSU rRNA
Rfam family: Bacterial small subunit ribosomal RNA
Source: RNAcentral